RNAcentral lists this ribosomal RNA (935 nucleotides) under uncultured bacterium. RNAcentral describes it as "bacterial SSU rRNA". It matches the Rfam family "Bacterial small subunit ribosomal RNA", at positions 431 to 1387 of the family's 1533-position model. The record is from RNAcentral.
CGCUUUCAGCAGGGAAGAGUCAAGACUGUACCUGCAGAAGAAGCCCCGGCUAACUACGUGCCAGCAGCCGCGGUAAUACGUAGGGGGCGAGCGUUAUCCGGAUUCAUUGGGCGUAAAGCGCGCGUAGGCGGCCCGGCAGGCCGGGGGUCGAAGCGGGGGGCUCAACCCCCCGAAGCCCCCGGAACCUCCGCGGCUUGGGUCCGGUAGGGGAGGGUGGAACACCCGGUGUAGCGGUGGAAUGCGCAGAUAUCGGGUGGAACACCGGUGGCGAAGGCGGCCCUCUGGGCCGAGACCGACGCUGAGGCGCGAAAGCUGGGGGAGCGAAAAGGAUUAGAUACCCUGGUAGUCCCAGCCCGUAAACGAUGGACGCUAGGUGUGGGGGGACGAUCCCCCCGUGCCGCAGCCAACGCAUUAAGCGUCCCGCCUGGGGAGUACGGCCGCAAGGCUAAAACUCAAAGGAAUUGACGGGGGCCCGCACAAGCAGCGGAGCAUGUGGCUUAAUUCGAAGCAACGCGAAGAACCUUACCAGGGCUUGACAUAUGGGUGAAGCGGGGGAGACCCCGUGGCCGAGAGGAGCCCAUACAGGUGGUGCAUGGCUGUCGUCAGCUCGUGUCGUGAGAUGUUGGGUUAAGUCCCGCAACGAGCGCAACCCCCGCCGCGUGUUGCCAUCGGGUGAUGCCGGGAACCCACGCGGGACCGCCGCCGUCAAGGCGGAGGAGGGCGGGGACGACGUCAAGUCAUCAUGCCCCUUAUGCCCUGGGCUGCACACGUGCUACAAUGGCCGGUACAGAGGGAUGCCACCCCGCGAGGGGGAGCGGAUCCCGGAAAGCCGGCCCCAGUUCGGAUUGGGGGCUGCAACCCGCCCCCAUGAAGUCGGAGUUGCUAGUAAUCGCGGAUCAGCAUGCCGCGGUGAAUGCGUUCCCGGGCCUUGUACA